GAUGAAGAACGCAGCGAAAUGCGAUACGUAAUGUGAAUUGCAGAAUUCAGUGAAUCAUCGAAUCUUUGAACGCAUAUUGCGCUCUCUGGUAUUCCGGAGAGCAUGCUUGUUUGAGUAUCAGUAAACACCUCAACUUCCAUAUCUUUUUUUGAAAUGGGAGUUGGACUUGAGUGAUCCCAACGCUUUUCCUCACCGAAAAGUGGCGGGUUACUUGAAAUGCAGGUGCAGCUGGACUUUUCUCUGAGCUAUAAGCAUAUCUAUUUAGUCUGCCUAAAAAACAGAUUAUUACCUUUGCUGCAGCUAACAUAAAGGAGAUUAGUUCUUGUGCUGACUGAUGCAGGAUUCACAAAGACAGGCUUCGGCCGACUUUGUAAACUCGAUCUCAAAUCAAGUAAGACUACCCGCUGAACUUAAGCAUAUCAAUAAGCGGAGGA
This 434-nucleotide unclassified non-coding RNA is filed under the name soil metagenome. RNAcentral describes it as "partial contains 5.8S ribosomal RNA, internal transcribed spacer 2, and large subunit ribosomal RNA". The stretch from base 1 to 120 matches the Rfam family "5.8S ribosomal RNA", at positions 35 to 154 of the family's 154-position model. The record is from RNAcentral.